AAUUAUACCGUGAAACUGCGAAUGGCUCAUUAAAUCAGUUAUCGUUUAUUUGAUAGUACCUUACUACUUGGAUAACCGUGGUAAUUCUAGAGCUAAUACAUGCUAAAAGCCCCGACUUCGGAAGGGGUGUAUUUAUUAGAUUAAAAACCAAUGCCCUUCGGGGCUCUUUGGUGAUUCAUGAUAACUUAACGAAUCGCAUGGCCUUGUGCCGGCGAUGGUUCAUUCAAAUUUCUGCCCUAUCAACUUUCGAUGGUAGUAUAUGGGACUACCAUGGUUUCAACGGGUAACGGGGAAUUAGGGUUCUAUUCCGGAGAGGGAGCCUGAGAAACGGCUACCACAUCCAAGGAAGGCAGCAGGCGCGCAAAUUACCCAAUCCCGACACGGGGAGGUAGUGACAAUAAAUACUGAUGCAGGGCUCUUUUGGGUCUUGUAAUUGGAAUGAGUACAAUUUAAAUCCCUUAACGAGGAACAAUUGGAGGGCAAGUCUGGUGCCAGCAGCCGCGGUAAUACCAGCUCCAAUAGCGUAUAUUAAAGUUGUUGCAGUUAAAAAGCUCGUAGUUGAACCUUGGGCCUGGCUGGCCGGUCCGCCUCACCGCGUGCACUGGUCCGGCCGGGUCUUUCCUCCUGGGGAGCCGCAUGCCCUUCACUGGGUGUGUCGGGGAACCAGGACUUUUACUUUGAAAAAAUUAGAGUGUUCAAAGCAGGCCUAUGCUCGAAUACAUUAGCAUGGAAUAAUAGAAUAGGACGUGUGGUUCUAUUUUGUUGGUUUCUCGGACCGCCGGAAUGAUUAAUAGGGAUAGUCGGGGGCAUCAGUAUUCAAUUGUCAGAGGUGAAAUUCUUGGAUUUAUUGAAGACUAACUACUGCGAAAGCAUUUGCCAAGGAUGUUUUCAUUAAUCAGGGAACGAAAGUUAGGGGAUCGAAGACGAUCAGAUACCGUCGUAGUUUUAACCAUAAACUAUGCCGACUAGGGAUCGGGCGAUGUUAUUUUUUUUUUGACUCGCUCGGCACCUUACGAGAAAUCAAAGUCUU
RNAcentral lists this ribosomal RNA (1030 nucleotides) under Erysiphe necator (grape powdery mildew). Its description in RNAcentral is "SSU rRNA". It matches the Rfam family "Eukaryotic small subunit ribosomal RNA", at positions 72 to 1107 of the family's 1831-position model. The record is from RNAcentral. Lineage: Eukaryota; Fungi; Ascomycota; Leotiomycetes; Helotiales; Erysiphaceae.